GGGUACGCCUACUCUAGCAAGACUGGUUGACGCGGGGAGCCCGGCGCGCCUUUCCCAGGAAAACAAGAAGAGGCUGCUCCCGGGGCGCGGGAGAUGAGUCACUCCUCAGUUCAGCAAGGGACUGCCCUUCGGACCAGGUGAAGAAAAAGCUCAGCAUGACGGAGCUACUUGCUGGCUAGCAUCUAACUGCUGAGAGGCAAAGCUGGAACUCAAACCCAGGGAUGAUAUGUGUAACCAAUGGAAUAUGCAAAAAUGACAGUGUGACUUCUAAGGCCAAGUCAUAAAAGUCCUUGAAGGUUCCACCUGACUCUCUUUUGGAUCACUCACCUGCCAUGUGGUGAAGACACCUAAGCAGCACCUGGAGAAGCUCACUGGCAGGGAACUGACACCUCUGCCCAACAACCAGCACUGACUUGCAGGUUCUAUUCCAAGGACAAUGAAGGCAGCUGGUUCCGUUCCCUCUUCGUACACAAGGUGGAUCCUCGGAAGGAUGCCCACUCUACCCUGCUGUCUAAGAAGGAGACCAGCAACCUCUACAAGAUCCAGUUUCACAAUGUGAAGCCCGAGUGUCUGGAUGCCUACAACAGCCUGACGGAGGCCGUGCUGCCCAAGCUGCACCUGGAUGAGGACUACCCCUGCUCGCUUGUGGGCAACUGGAACACGUGGUACGGGGAGCAGGACCAGGCUGUACACCUGUGGCGAUUCUCAGGUGGCUACCCAGCCCUCAUGGACUGCAUGAACAAGCUCAAAAACAACAAGGAGUACCUGGAGUUCCGAAAGGAGCGGAGCCAGAUGCUGCUUUCCAGGAGGAACCAGAUGCUUCUCGAGUUCAGCUUCUGGAAUGAGCCACAGCCUCGAGCUGGCCCCAACAUCUACGAGCUGAGGACGUACAAGCUCAAGCCAGGAACCAUGAUCGAGUGGGGGAACAACUGGGCUCGGGCCAUCAAGUACCGGCAGGAGAACCAGGAAGCAGUGGGCGGCUUCUUCUCGCAGAUAGGAGAGCUCUACGUUGUGCACCAUCUCUGGGCCUAUAAGGACCUGCAGUCUCGGGAGGAGACCCGAAACGCUGCCUGGAGGAAGAGGGGCUGGGAUGAAAAUGUCUACUACACAGUCCCCCUGGUGCGACACAUGGAGUCUCGGAUCAUGAUCCCUUUGAAGAUCUCGCACCCCAGUGGAGGGUUUUUUGUUUCCUGAAAUCCUAUCGAGGAGCAUCCUCCCACUAUGGCAGAAGGAACUGCACUAUAUAACCAGGGAUUCGGGACAUGUGUUUCUGCCUUCAGAUAAGUAGGACUUAGUAAACUCUAUCUGUACUCAUACCUGGGGUAGAAAAUGCUUGAAACUGUCAAAUGCUGCAUUAGAUUUGGGGCUCUACCCUAGGUAAAUGUGGCCUAAAAUGGGGAAAAUACCGAUCAAUCUUUGCGGGGGUGGGGGGAGGAGGCUGAAUGAAAUGGGCUUAAAACCCUCCCUGACUUGCUGCCCUCACUAGUGUGGGAUGUUAGGGUGGAUGUGAUGGUGAUUUAGAAUCCAGGUUAUGGAAGCAAAUCCACAGGGAUCCAGAUCUUAACACCACCACGCUGGGUUAUCCUGGGCAUGGGCAAAUUCAUUCAACACCUGGCAGAGCUCCCAUAGUUGUCGGACAUCGUUUUAGGCGCUGGGGAAAGAAUGAACGAGGCACAUAAGAGGCUUUGCCCUUGCAGCCUCGGUUUCCUAGUUUCAGGGGGCAGCAUGAGGCUGCUGGCUGGCUAGGACCCGCUCUGACAAACCAGGUGCCGCCUCCGCCGGCGUCCGCACCUCCUUGCUUCCCAGCAGAUACCAGCACAGCAGUCUGAGCCAGGACCCUUCGCGCUUCGCUUCCGGCCUCCGCGCCUCGCUUCCGGUCGACCGCUCCUUCCUUCCGCUUCUCUAUGGUGCGCGGUCCGCAGUCCUCCCGACGCCGGAAGUGGCUCGUUCACCGGGACGGAUUCUGGGCGCGUGCGGUGUUCAACAUUAUCGAUCACCUGUGGACCAUCAAAAGCCUGCUCCCAGGUCAUCUUUAUCGUCUUCCUCAGUGGAGUGCUUCCUGUGUUAAUGUCCACAAUAGCCCCAGAGGUAGGGACUUGAUGGCUUGGAGAGAUGCUAUAGUGGCAAGACUACAGGACACAGUAACGUAGUUGUCAAGAGCAUGGAUGUGGCGUGGCUUGAGACCAAGCCUUAGCAUCCUAGCUGUAUGACCUUGGGCACAUCAUUCACCUUCCUGACUCUCAGUCUCUGCUGUUUCCUCCUGAUUUCUCCAAACAACCAUGUCAUCAGAAUCGAGCAAAAAACGGAAGCCCAAAGUGAUCCGGAGUGAUGGAGCUCCAGCUGAAGGGAAGCGUAAUCGUUCUGACACUGAGCAGGAAGGUAAAUACUACAGCGAGGAGGCUGAGGUGGACCUGCGGGACCCUGGCAGAGACUAUGAGCUGUACAAGUACACGUGUCAAGAGUUGCAGAGGCUCAUGGCUGAGAUCCAGGACCUGAAAAGCAGGGGAGGCAAGGAUGUGGCCAUUGAGAUUGAAGAUCGGAGGAUCCAGAGCUGUGUACAUUUCAUGACUCUAAAGAAGCUUAACCGAUUAGCCCACAUCAGGUUGAAGAAAGGAAGAGAUCAGACCCAUGAGGCCAAGCAGAAAGUGGAUGCCUAUCACCUGCAGCUCCAGAACCUGUUGUAUGAGGUGAUGCACCUGCAGAAGGAGAUCACCAAAUGUCUGGAGUUUAAGUCAAAGCAUGAAGAAAUUGACCUGGUCAGCUUGGAGGAGUUUUAUAAGGAGGCUCCUCCAGAUAUCAGUAAAGCCGAAGUCACCAUGGGAGACCCUCACCAGCAAACUCUUGCACGUCUGGACUGGGAGCUGGAGCAGCGGAAAAGGCUGGCAGAGAAGUACCGAGAGUGCUUAUCCAACAAGGAGAAGAUCCUCAAGGAGAUUGAGGUGAAGAAGGAGUACCUGAGCAGCCUCCAGCCCCGACUCAACAGCAUCAUGCAGGCUUCCCUCCCAGUGCAAGAGUACCUGUUUAUGCCCUUCGACCAGGCUCACAAGCAGUAUGAGACAGCCAGACACCUACCACCUCCCCUCUAUGUCCUCUUUGUCCAGGCCACUGCAUAUGGGCAGGCCUGUGAUGACGAGAGCGACUCGGAUGCUGAGGAGGAACAGACCACGAAACGCCGGCGACCCACUCUGGGAGUUCAGCUGGACGACAAACGCAAGGAGAUGCUGAAGAGGCACCCGCUGUCCGUCAUGCUGGACCUGAAAUGCAAAGAUGACAGUGUCCUGCACCUGACUUUCUACUACCUCAUGAACCUCAACAUCAUGACAGUAAAAGCCAAAGUGACAACCGCCACAGAGCUGAUCACCCCCAUCAGUGCAGGUGACUUGCUGUCUCCUGACUCAGUCCUAAGCUGUCUGUAUCCUGGGGAUCAUGGAAAGAAAACUCCAAAUCCAGCCAAUCAGUAUCAGUUUGACAAAGUUGGCAUCCUGACUUUGAGAGACUACGUACUUGACCUAGGUCACCCCUAUUUGUGGGUGCAGAAGCUGGGUGGUCUCCACUUCCCCAAAGAGCAGCCCCAGCACACUGUGGUCGCUGACCACUCGCUGAGCGCCAGCCACAUGGAGACCACCAUGAAGCUGCUGAAGACCAGGGUGCAGUCCCGCCUGGCCCUCCACAAGCAGUUUGCCUCCCUGGAACAUGGCAUCGUGCCAGUUACCAGUGAUUGCCAGUACCUCUUCCCUGCAAAGGUCGUCUCUCGCCUGAUGAAGUGGGUGGCAAUUGCCCAUGAGGAUUACAUGGAGCUGCAUUUCACCAAAGACAUUGUGGAGGCGGGACUGGCCGGGGACACCAAUCUCUACUACAUGGCACUCGUGGAAAGGGGCACAGCUAAGCUCCAGGCGGCCGUGGUGCUGAACCCUGGCUACUCCUCCAUCCCGCCCAUUUUCCAGCUCUGUCUGAACUGGAAAGGGGAGAAAACCAACAGCAACGAUGACAAUAUUCGGGCCAUGGAGAGCGAGGUCAACGUUUGCUACAAAGAGCUGUGUGGCCCCCGGCCCAGCCACCAGCUCUUGACCAACCAGCUGCAGCGCCUGUGCGUGCUGUUGGACGUCUACCUGGAGACGGAGAGCCACGACGACAGUGUGGAGGGGCCCAAGGAAUUUCCCCAGGAGAAGAUGUGUCUGAGGCUUUUCAGGGGUCCCAGCAGGAUGAAGCCGUUUAAAUAUAACCAUCCUCAAGGAUUCUUCAGCCAUCGCUGACCUCCCACUUAGCUAUUGUCCGCCUCCAGACCCCAGUACUGCACUUCUUUCUGAUCUGGCACACAUGUGGCUCUUGAUAUUCUCCAAAGACAGGUUUUCUAUUUGUAGCCUAUUAAAGUGUCACCUGAC
RNAcentral lists this long non-coding RNA (4382 nucleotides) under Sus scrofa (pig). Its description in RNAcentral is "lncRNA (ENSSSCG00030042246.1)". Lineage: Eukaryota; Metazoa; Chordata; Mammalia; Artiodactyla; Suidae. The record is from RNAcentral.